UCCCAGCUUCAAAAAAACAGCCCUCAACUGUAACUUCUGUAACUCUCCACUACUUGCCCCAAACCUGUAAAACCAACUCCUAUCCCUCUAUCCUCUGCUGACUCUCUUUUCGACUCAGCCCACCCACACCCAUGUGAAUAAACAGCCAUGUUGCUCAUACAAAGCCUGUUUGUGGGGGGGGUCUCUUCAUUCAGAGUGCACAUUUUAACAUGUAGUAUAUUUGCAAAGUUACAUAGCCAUCACCGCUAACUAAUUUCAGAACAUUUCGUCACCUGCACCCACUACCCUGAAAAAGAAAAAACAUGCUUAUUAGCAAUCACUCCACUUUUCCUUUACUCCCAGCUCCUGGAAGCAACUCAUCUACUUUCUGUCUCUACAGAUUUGCAUAUUCUGAACAUUUCAUAUAAAUGAAAUUAUAUAUUUGUCCUUUUGUGUCUGUCUUUUUUCACUUAGCAAAAUGUUUUCAAGGCUUAUGUGAUUGUGGCAUUAAUCAGUGCAGUUGACCCUUGAACAAUAUAGGAGUUAGGGACACUGAACUUUGGCGCUGUCAAAAAUUCAAGUAUAAUUUUUGGCUCCCACAAACUUCACUACUAAUAGCUACUGUUGACCAGAUGCCUUACUGAUAACAUAAACAAUAGAAAACAUAUGUUAUAUGUUAAAUGUAUUACACAAUACGAUCAGUAAAAUAUAUUUGUCUUACAAUGAAGUAAGCCAGAAGAAAGAAAAUGUUAUUAAGAAAAUCACAAGGAAGAGAAGAAAGAAAAUAAGGAAUGCAAAGAAGGCAAAUGAUCCUCUUUUAUUUUGGCUAUUGACAAGUUAUUGUAUCCUGUAAUACCUGUAGCUCUAAUUGCAAAAGUCCAAGUUGGAAGAGGAAGCUGAGCAAAGACCUAAUUGCAUCUGGUGACUAGCUUCAGCCUGAUCCUAUGAGGAGCUCCAGAGCAAGAAUUGUGCCACAGAAUUUGUACCAUCUUGAGGCAAGGGAGCCAUAUUUUUGUAUCCCAUGUUAGCCUUCUGAGGAGGGGAAUCAUCCCCCAGGGAAGAGGGCUCCCAUUGAUUGGGGGCAAAUCUCCAGAGGAGACAGCUGACUAACAUUCACAGCAGCUAGGAGUUAAGCAUGCCUUUCAUUAAUGUGGAUCUGAGAAGGACACCAGCAACACCACUGCAGUCGGGGCAGCACUACAUGCUGCUCAGAUCCACCUGAUUCUCACAUUACCUCUCUUCCUUCCAGGCACAACUUCUCCAACAUUUCUACCACAUAAACAUGCUGGGAGAACUUGAAAGAGAAGGUUGAUGGAUUAGACUACAGUCCCAAAUGCUACAAUUGAUUCCAAGGUUGUAAGUGAUAUUCAUUGUCUCUUCCUCCUCCACACAGGGCAUAUUUCCUUUCAUUCGGCCAGCACUGGUGCUGAUCUAGGUGGUUUGCAUUGUGGGCCCACAUCCCCGUGGAGUCUGAGUCCCUAGUGACCAUGUCUUUAUCAGGCUGGGCUUACUAUGGGUGUAUUUACACUUAAAAGCGGGCAUGGGAAAACCAAAAGAUGCCAAGAUGGAUCAACUUAAUGACAAAAAUAUUCUCCACGCCUCUAUUAUGUAGCAGCAGCUAAACCUGCUGAUGACUGGGGUAACUUACUCUCUAAUAUGUAACUAUUUUCCUAGCCAGCUGGUCUC
This 1665-nucleotide long non-coding RNA is filed under the name Callithrix jacchus (white-tufted-ear marmoset). RNAcentral's name for it is "lncRNA (ENSCJAG00000062237.2)". The record is from RNAcentral. Lineage: Eukaryota; Metazoa; Chordata; Mammalia; Primates; Cebidae.